GUGACUGAGGCACUCAGCAAGGAGACAGCCAUGUGCAGCACGCAGGAAGAACCCUCCCCAGACACCAGCCCAGCUGGCACCUCGCUCUUGGACUUCCAGCCUCUGGACCAUCCACUCUCCUAAAGAGGGAAUAAAGGUCUCAGACUCAGCAACAAGCUGUUAUGGGCACUGGUUACUGCCAGGAUGCUUCCGGGUGAUGAACUGCUCUGUGUGGGGGAGAGCAAGCCAAGAGGGGUCCACGCAGAAGCCCAUCUAAGAGCCCCCUACACUGCUCCUAGGAAGGCAGGGAGAGAGCUAUGGUCAAAUGUCUCCGAACAGCUUCAGUGUUACCCAGAGAAGCCCGUGCGUUUCAGGGAAGGCCUCCAGCCUGUGCUCUGCACUGAAGAACCCUGGACUUCACCGUGCUACAGAGGUGGUGAUCGGUUAGGCAGCUGAGAUGACGGACCGGAAGCUGGCAAAGCUGGACUGAAGCCCGCGGUUUUCCCACCCCAUGGCCCACGCUGUCCCCACCACGCCACGGAGUCAAAAGGGGGACCAUUCCUGCCAUAUCUCAGCAGUUAUGUGCUUAUUCUGCUUAAUAAUUUAUCCAGCAUCCUCUUACAUAAUUAAGCUUAAUUUGCUGAGCUCUUUAUCCUUCUUAAAUCAUCAGGCCAUGCUUUGAAAACACAUUAAAUAGAGUAACCAAACAAUGUUUAUAAAAGUAAUGGAAAUUAAUGACUUCCGCAAAGGCUUUCCUUCUAGGAGAGAGCUACAGAUGAAAGUAAUAAUAAUACAUUUAAAAAGAACAAAAACCAAACACUUGUGCUCACCUGACCAGCCCCCGAUACAUGAUGUAUUCACACCAUCUGUCACGAUCUGUGCUGUCGAUAUCCUGGUAAGGGGCAGAAGGAAAAUGUUCACAGCAUAGAAACCAAAUUGUGAGCUGCAGUGGUAAGUAUGCCUUGUUGCAUGUCAUUUUCUCUUUCUGGUCCCUACUGAUCCUUGGAGUCUAAUUGACUUGGUCAUUCUACAAAUGUUUCUUGAACACCUGCUAUGUUCUCCUCCAUCUCUGCACUAGAGGCUGGAAAUACAAAGAUAAAGGUGGCCUGGAGAGGGCGUUAGACAGGAACAUAUGUCAGUGAUUCCAAGGUGGCGCCUGGCACCCUCCGGCUUUCCAAGUCUCUCAUCGUAAAGAGAGAGCAGCACAUCUUCAGGUCAUGGGGAGGUGUGCUUUAUGCACCCCAGCUUGACCACAGUGUCAUGUCAUCUGUCCCUGUGUCUGCACCCUCCCCUUCCUGAGCACAGGGGCUGGGACUCAUUUCUGGCUGCCUAGCACUUAGCCGGAAGCCUGGUGCUCAGCAGGUAGGCGCUCAGUCUGUGUUUGUUAAAUUGAACUGUGGAAAUAAACACAUUGCGAGAGAAAUCAUGGGUCUUUUUUAUAGCAAAAGCUUGAAGGCAGGAUCAGUUCUCAUCACAGAGAAGCAGAAACAUGUUUUUCUAUAAUGUGUUCAGAAGACUAUAAAUAUGGAACUUUUAUACUGAAAGAAGAAGAAAUAUUUAUUUUCUUCUUUUGAAAUAUUCAUUUUCUUCUUUUGAAAUGUCUAUAAAUAAAGA
Long non-coding RNA from Chinchilla lanigera (long-tailed chinchilla), 1593 nucleotides. RefSeq lists it as uncharacterized. The record is from RefSeq and is a predicted model, not a curated record. The transcript is spliced from 3 exons. Lineage: Eukaryota; Metazoa; Chordata; Mammalia; Rodentia; Chinchillidae.